UACGAAGGGGGCUAGCGUUGCUCGGAAUCACUGGGCGUAAAGGGCGCGUAGGCGGCCAUUCAAGUCGGAGGUGAAAGCCCAGGGCUCAACCCUGGAAUUGCCUUCGAUACUGUUUGGCUAGAGACCGGAAGAGGUAAGUGGAACUGCGAGUGUAGAUGUGAAAUUCGUAGAUAUUCGCAAGAACACCAGUGGCGAAGGCGGCUUACUGGUCCGGUUCUGACGCUGAGGCGCGAAAGCGUGGGGAGCAAACAGG
RNAcentral lists this ribosomal RNA (253 nucleotides) under uncultured bacterium. Its description in RNAcentral is "partial 16S ribosomal RNA". It matches the Rfam family "Bacterial small subunit ribosomal RNA", at positions 524 to 776 of the family's 1533-position model. The record is from RNAcentral.